GGUUAAGCGACUAAGCGUACACGGUGGAUGCCCUGGCAGUCAGAGGCGAUGAAGGACGUGCUAAUCUGCGAUAAGCGUCGGUGAGGUGAUAUGAACCGUUAUAACCGGCGAUUUCCGAAUGGGGAAACCCAGUGUGUUUCGACACACUAUCAUUAACUGAAUCCAUAGGUUAAUGAGGCGAACCGGGGGAACUGAAACAUCUAAGUACCCCGAGGAAAAGAAAUCAACCGAGAUUCCCCCAGUAGCGGCGAGCGAACGGGGAGGAGCCCAGAGCCUGAAUCAGUGUGUGUGUUAGUGGAAGCGUCUGGAAAGGCGUGCGAUACAGGGUGACAGCCCCGUACACAAAAAUGCACAUAUUGUGAGCUCGAUGAGUAGGGCGGGACACGUGGUAUCCUGUCUGAAUAUGGGGGGACCAUCCUCCAAGGCUAAAUACUCCUGACUGACCGAUAGUGAACCAGUACCGUGAGGGAAAGGCGAAAAGAACCCCGGCGAGGGGAGUGAAAAAGAACCUGAAACCGUGUACGUACAAGCAGUGGGAGCCUCUUAAUGGGGUGACUGCGUACCUUUUGUAUAAUGGGUCAGCGACUUAUAUUCUGUAGCAAGGUUAACCGAAUAGGGGAGCCGAAGGGAAACCGAGUCUUAACUGGGCGUUAAGUUGCAGGGUAUAGACCCGAAACCCGGUGAUCUAGCCAUGGGCAGGUUGAAGGUUGGGUAACACUAACUGGAGGACCGAACCGACUAAUGUUGAAAAAUUAGCGGAUGACUUGUGGCUGGGGGUGAAAGGCCAAUCAAACCGGGAGAUAGCUGGUUCUCCCCGAAAGCUAUUUAGGUAGCGCCUCGUGAAUUCAUCUCCGGGGGUAGAGCACUGUUUCGGCAAGGGGGUCAUCCCGACUUACCAACCCGAUGCAAACUGCGAAUACCGGAGAAUGUUAUCACGGGAGACACACGGCGGGUGCUAACGUCCGUCGUGAAGAGGGAAACAACCCAGACCGCCAGCUAAGGUCCCAAAGUCAUGGUUAAGUGGGAAACGAUGUGGGAAGGCCCAGACAGCCAGGAUGUUGGCUUAGAAGCAGCCAUCAUUUAAAGAAAGCGUAAUAGCUCACUGGUCGAGUCGGCCUGCGCGGAAGAUGUAACGGGGCUAAACCAUGCACCGAAGCUGCGGCAGCGACACUAUGUGUUGU
This 1181-nucleotide ribosomal RNA is filed under the name Escherichia coli. RNAcentral's name for it is "partial 23S ribosomal RNA". It matches the Rfam family "Bacterial large subunit ribosomal RNA", at positions 1 to 1224 of the family's 2925-position model. Lineage: Bacteria; Pseudomonadati; Pseudomonadota; Gammaproteobacteria; Enterobacterales; Enterobacteriaceae. The record is from RNAcentral.